UCCGGCUUAUCACCGGCAGUUUCCUCAGAGUGCCCAGCAUUACCUGAUGGCAACAGAGGAUGAGGGUUGCGCUCGUUGCGGGACUUAACCCAACAUCUCACGACACGAGCUGACGACAGCCAUGCAGCACCUGUGCUCCCUCCAGCCGAGCUGAAGGACGCCAUUUCUGGUGUCCGCGAGGGGCAUGUCAAGGCCUGGUAAGGUUCUUCGCGUUGCCUCGAAUUAAACCACAUGUUCCACCGCUUGUGCGGGUCCCCGUCAAUUCCUUUGAGUUUUAAUCUUGCGACCGUACUCCCCAGGCGGGAUGCUUAACGCGUUAGCUACGCCACUGAAGGGUUGACCCCCAACGGCUAGCAUCCAUCGUUUACAGCGUGGACUAC
RNAcentral lists this unclassified non-coding RNA (380 nucleotides) under uncultured Rickettsiales bacterium. RNAcentral's name for it is "contains 16S-23S intergenic spacer region". Lineage: Bacteria; Pseudomonadati; Pseudomonadota; Alphaproteobacteria; Rickettsiales. The record is from RNAcentral.